AGAGGAGGUGGCCAAGUUGGAGAAGCACUUGAUGCUUCUGCGGCAGGAGUAUGUCAAGCUGCAGAAGAAGCUGGCGGAGACAGAGAAGCGCUGCGCUCUCUUGGCUGCGCAGGCAAACAAGGAGAGCAGCAGUGAGUCCUUCAUCAGCCGUCUGCUGGCCAUCGUGGCAGACCUCUACGAGCAGGAGCAGUACAGCGAUCUGAAGAUAAAGGUUGGGGACAGGCACAUCAGUGCUCACAAGUUUGUCCUGGCAGCCCGCAGUGACAGCUGGAGUCUGGCUAACUUGUCUUCCACUAAAGAGUUGGACCUGUCAGAUGCUAACCCUGAGGUGACGAUGACAAUGCUUCGCUGGAUCUAUACAGAUGAGCUGGAGUUCAGAGAGGAUGAUGUGUUCCUGACGGAACUGAUGAAACUAGCAAAUCGGUUUCAGCUGCAGCUCCUCAGGGAGAGAUGUGAGAAGGGUGUUAUGUCUCUAGUGAAUGUCAGGAACUGUAUUCGCUUCUACCAGACGGCAGAGGAGCUGAAUGCCAGCACACUGAUGAACUACUGUGCAGAAAUUAUUGCAAGUCAUUGGGACGACCUGAGGAAGGAGGAUUUCAGCAGCAUGAGCGCUCAGUUGUUAUACAAAAUGAUCAAAUCCAAGACGGAGUACCCGCUACAUAAAGCCAUCAAAGUGGAGAGAGAAGACGUGGUUUUCCUGUAUCUGAUUGAAAUGGAUUCCCAGCUCCCUGGGAAGCUGAAUGAAGCGGAUCAUAACGGAGAUCUGGCAUUAGAUCUAGCCCUUUCACGACGACUGGAGAGUAUUGCCACCACGCUGGUUACUCACAAAGCUGAUGUGGACAUGGUGGACAAGAGUGGCUGGAGCUUGUUACACAAAGGAAUCCAAAGAGGAGAUCUCUUUGCUGCCACUUUCCUCAUUAAGAAUGGGGCCUUGGUCAACGCUGCUACACUGGGUGCCCAGGAGACACCACUGCACCUUGUGGCCUUGUACAGUUCAAAGAAACACUCAGCAGAUGUGAUGUCUGAGAUGGCGCAGAUUGCAGAGGCCCUUCUGCAGGCUGGUGCCAACCCCAACAUGCAGGACAGCAAGGGGAGGACUCCUUUACAUGUGUCCAUCAUGGCCGGGAAUGAAUAUGUGUUCAGUCAGCUGCUGCAGUGCAAACAACUAGAUUUAGAACUCAAAGACCACGAGGGCAGCACGGCUCUGUGGCUGGCAGUGCAGCAUAUCACAGUGUCUUCUGACCAGUCUGUGAACCCCUUCGAAGAUAUCCCCGUGGUAAAUGGGACUUCAUUUGAUGAGAACAGCUUUGCAGCCAGACUCAUCCAGCGCGGCAGCCACACAGACGCACCUGACACGGCGACAGGUAAAGCACAUGCCUCCCGAAGGGGCGACGCUGGGGUCUGCAGGCGCCAGGAAAUGGCGUGUAAAUGCUUUCACCCCAAAUUUAGAAACUGAACGGCAUACUAUGAGGAUAAUUAUUUUGUACUUAAUUUUAUAUACAGUAAAAGCCUGGGUUGUCAUUUUUAAAAAUCCUGUGCUUCAAACAAUUGAGCAGACAUCAAGUCCCUGAAACUGAAACUUCCAUAUAUUUAAUGCGGUGACUCGCAGACUCUUUGGACUCAAGAAUUCCUUUGACCGUCUUAAAAAUUGUACCCCAGAGAGCUUUUCUUUAGGUGGGUUAUAACUUCAGUAUUUACCAUAUUAGACUACACUUUGAGAACACUGUUUUAAUGUAUUUCCUUGAUCUGACUAAAUAAAAUAACAGGGAUAUUUUAAGGAGAGGGAUUUGGUAUAAUUCAGUAUUGAGUACUGGCAAUGCAUAAAACAUGGGUAAGUGUCACUCACACAGGAAGACUUGACCAAAAAAAAAAAA
Molecule: small RNA, 1874 nt
Filed under: Pan troglodytes (chimpanzee)
Lineage: Eukaryota; Metazoa; Chordata; Mammalia; Primates; Hominidae
Description: retained intron
Source: RNAcentral